Non-coding RNA from Pelobates cultripes (western spadefoot toad), 373 nucleotides. The record is from the annotation of a GenBank genome assembly. Lineage: Eukaryota; Metazoa; Chordata; Amphibia; Anura; Pelobatidae.
UUAAAGGGACACUAUAGUCACCUGAAUAACUUUAGCUUAAUGAAGCAGUUUUGGCGUAUAGAACAUGCCCCUGCAGCCCCACUGCUCAAUCCUCUGCCAUUUAGGAGUUAAAUCCCUUUGUUUAUGAACCCUAGUCACACCUCCCUGAAUGUGACUUGCACAGCCUUCCAUAAACACUUCCUGUAAAUAGAGCCCUAUUUAGGCUUUCUUUAUUGCAAGUUCUGUUUAAUUAAGAUUUUCUUAUCCCCUGCUAUGUUAAUAGCUUGCUAGACCCUGCAAGAGCCUCCUGUAUGUGAUUAAAGUUCAAUUUAGAGAUUGAGAUACAAUUAUUUAAGGUAAAUUACAUCUGUUUGAAAGUGAAACCAGUUUUUUU